RNAcentral lists this ribosomal RNA (460 nucleotides) under uncultured bacterium. Its description in RNAcentral is "partial 16S ribosomal RNA". It matches the Rfam family "Bacterial small subunit ribosomal RNA", at positions 338 to 795 of the family's 1533-position model. The record is from RNAcentral.
CCUACGGGGGGCAGCAGUGAGGAAUAUUGGUCAAUGGACGAGAGUCUGAACCAGCCAAGUAGCGUGAAGGAUGACUGCCCUAUGGGUUGUAAACUUCUUUUAUAUGGGAAUAAAAUGUUCCACGUGUGGGAUUUUGUAUGUACCAUAUGAAUACGGAUCGGCUAACUCCGUGCCAGCAGCCGCGGUAAUACGGAGGAUCCGAGCGUUAUCCGGAUUUUUUGGGUUUAAAGGGAGCGUAGGUGGAUUGUUAAGUCAGUUGUGAAAGUUUGCGGCUCAACCGUAAAAUUGCAGUUGAAACUGGCAGUCUUGAGUACAGUAGAGGUGGGCGGAAUUCGUGGUGUAGCGGUGAAAUGCUUAGAUAGCACGAAGAACUCCGAUUGCGAAGGCAGCUCACUGGACUGCAACUGACACUGAGGCUCGAAAGUGUGGGUAUCAAACAGGAUUAGAUACCCUUGUAGUC